UACGUAGGGGGCAAGCGUUGUCCGGAAUCAUUGGGCGUAAAGCGCGCGUAGGCGGCUCAGUAAGUCCGCUCUGAAAGCCCGGGGCUUAACCCCGGGAGGCGGGUGGAUACUGCUGAGCUUGAGUCCGGAAGAGGCGAGUGGGAUUCCCGGUGUAGCGGUGAAAUGCGCAGAUAUCGGGAGGAACACCAAUGGCGAAGGCAGCUCGCUGGGACGUGACUGACGCUGAGACGCGAAAGCGUGGGGAGCAAACAGG
This 253-nucleotide ribosomal RNA is filed under the name uncultured bacterium. Its description in RNAcentral is "partial 16S ribosomal RNA". It matches the Rfam family "Bacterial small subunit ribosomal RNA", at positions 524 to 776 of the family's 1533-position model. The record is from RNAcentral.